RNAcentral lists this ribosomal RNA (253 nucleotides) under uncultured bacterium. RNAcentral's name for it is "partial 16S ribosomal RNA". It matches the Rfam family "Bacterial small subunit ribosomal RNA", at positions 524 to 776 of the family's 1533-position model. The record is from RNAcentral.
UACGAAGGGGACUAGCGUUGUUCGGAAUCACUGGGCGUAAAGCGCACGUAGGCGGAUGUGUCAGUCAGGGGUGAAAUCCCGGGGCUCAACCUCGGAACUGCCUUUGAUACAGCACGUCUCGAGUCCGGAAGAGGUGGGUGGAAUUCCUAGUGUAGAGGUGAAAUUCGUAGAUAUUAGGAAGAACACCGGUGGCGAAGGCGGCCCACUGGUCCGGUACUGACGCUGAGGUCCGAAAGCGUGGGGAGCAAACAGG